AAUCAACGCUGGCGGCGUGCCUAACACAUGCAAGUCGAGCGCGAAAGCGGGGUAACUCGCAAGUAGAGCGGCGAACGGGUGAGUAACGCGUGGGUGAUCUGCCUUCGAGUGGGGAAUAACACCGGGAAACUGGUGCUAAUACCGCAUGACAUCUUCGGGUCACACCGGAGAUCAAAGCCGGGGACCGCAAGGCCUGGCGCUUGAAGAGGAGCCCGCGUCCGAUUAGCUAGUGGCGGGGUAAUGGCCCACCAAGGCUUCGAUCGGUAGCCGGCCUGAGAGGGCGGACGGCCACACUGGGACUGAGACACGGCCCAGACUCCUACGGGAGGCAGC
Molecule: ribosomal RNA, 333 nt
Filed under: uncultured bacterium
Lineage: Bacteria
Description: bacterial SSU rRNA
Rfam family: Bacterial small subunit ribosomal RNA
Source: RNAcentral